This 404-nucleotide ribosomal RNA is filed under the name Actinomycetes bacterium. RNAcentral describes it as "Actinobacteria bacterium partial 16S ribosomal RNA". It matches the Rfam family "Bacterial small subunit ribosomal RNA", at positions 355 to 776 of the family's 1533-position model. Lineage: Bacteria; Bacillati; Actinomycetota; Actinomycetes. The record is from RNAcentral.
UGGGGAAUAUUGGACAAUGGGCGCAAGCCUGAUCCAGCCAUGCCGCGUGAGUGAUGAAGGCCCUAGGGUUGUAAAGCUCUUUCACCGGUGAAGAUAAUGACGGUAACCGGAGAAGAAGCCCCGGCUAACUUCGUGCCAGCAGCCGCGGUAAUACGAAGGGGGCUAGCGUUGUUCGGAUUUACUGGGCGUAAAGCGCACGUAGGCGGACUAUUAAGUCAGGGGUGAAAUCCCGGGGCUCAACCCCGGAACUGCCUUUGAUACUGGUAGUCUUGAGUUCGAGAGAGGUGAGUGGAAUUCCGAGUGUAGAGGUGAAAUUCGUAGAUAUUCGGAGGAACACCAGUGGCGAAGGCGGCUCACUGGCUCGAUACUGAAGCUGAGGUGCGAAAGCGUGGGGAGCAAACAGG